RNAcentral lists this transfer RNA (72 nucleotides) under Camelus bactrianus (Bactrian camel). It matches the Rfam family "tRNA". From Rfam's summary of the family: Transfer RNA (tRNA) molecules are approximately 80 nucleotides in length. Their secondary structure includes four short double-helical elements and three loops (D, anti-codon, and T loops). The record is from Rfam by way of RNAcentral. RNAcentral also lists the same sequence under 2 other names. Lineage: Eukaryota; Metazoa; Chordata; Mammalia; Artiodactyla; Camelidae.
GAGGGUACAGCUCAGUGGUAGAGCGUGUGUUUAGCAUGCAUGAAGUCCUGAGUUCAUUCCCCAGUACUGCCA